UACGCCUACGGGGGGCAGCAGUGAGGAAUAUUGGUCAAUGGGCUUACGCCUGAACCAGCCAAGUCGCGCGAGGGAAGACGGUCCUAUGGAUUGUAAACCUCUUUUGUCGGGGAGCAAAGAGAUCACGUGUGGUCAAAAGCGAGAGUACCCGAAGAAAAAGCAUCGGCUAACUCCGUGCCAGCAGCCGCGGUAAUACGGAGGAUGCGAGCGUUAUCCGGAUUUAUUGGGUUUAAAGGGUGCGUAGGCGGGACGGUAAGUCAGCGGUAAAAAUGCGGAGCUCAACUCCG
This 287-nucleotide ribosomal RNA is filed under the name uncultured bacterium. RNAcentral describes it as "partial 16S ribosomal RNA". It matches the Rfam family "Bacterial small subunit ribosomal RNA", at positions 334 to 617 of the family's 1533-position model. The record is from RNAcentral.